This is a non-coding RNA of Vicia faba (fava bean), 327 nucleotides long. The record is from the annotation of a GenBank genome assembly. Lineage: Eukaryota; Viridiplantae; Streptophyta; Magnoliopsida; Fabales; Fabaceae.
AUGGUCAAGGAAUUUCCAAUCGACCGAAUCAAAUACUUUCUCAAAAUCUACCUUGAAGAUUAUUUCUUCCUGCGCUUAACAUCAUCAACCAACUCAUUUGCUAUAAAGAUGCAGUCCAACAUUUGUCCUCCCUCAAGAAAAGUAUAUUGUACUUCAGAUCACUUUGUAGACCACCUUCUUCAAUCUAUUUGUAAGCAGCUUUGCCAGAAUUUUAUACGUACAUCCAGUAAGAGAAAUAGUUCUAAACUCGUUGAUAUGAAAAGCUUGAAUUAUAAAGUAGUUGUGGCAGUCUUUAUAUACAAAAUAAAGGAAACGGCAAAUCCUUAA